GCGUCCAUUGAAGUUCUGUUUUUUUAAAUAUAAAGUGUAUCAAAGACUUUUAGGAGCCCAGGUGUGUGUUUAUCUGACUAUCUUUCAAAAAGCUGCUUCAGAGACUGCAAAAAGAUGUAUGUUCAGGAAUCUAUUUCAGGCAUUCUUACCAGCCAGCUAGUUACCCGACCCCUACUCCCUUCCCUGGCUUCCCGGCCCCCCACUCCCCCUUGCUGCUUCGAAACAAAAUAGCUUCUUUCCAAGCAGGUUGUUAUCAUAUUCAUGGCAUGGUCAAUUUCCGUUUGCCAAGAAAAUAUUUAGGCUGAUCAAAGACAUUAGAAAAUCGGAUGAAUAGAAACAGACGUUCCCACAAGAGAAGCGUUUCUCAACGUGAAGAGGCAGGCGGAUUGCAGCCCACCCAGUUACUCCUAGGAAAUAGCUCUCCUGCUAAAGGCAGAACUAUGGGGCCACCUGGAUUCUACCGGAAGGGCUAUGGAAGAGUCCGGAAAUUCACGUGGAGACUGGAGCUUGGGACUCUCCGAUGGCGGACAUGUGAGAUGAUCGGUUCUAGUAUCUAUCAGCAAACCUAGAAGGCCUUUAAUUACAUCCAUUAACACAGAGGGACCUUUCAAGACUGAAGAUACGUAAGUUUGAGAUCCUUUGUUUUGCUUCAACUGGUUUGUUAUGCGCAUGGAAAGACAACACAUCCUUUGUAGAUGAUACAGGCAUUUCUCCUGAAGUAGUGUAAACUAAGUUUCCUGGAUUUGAGUGGGGGAAUGUCUGACAGUAAUUGUCCUUGGGACCCUUUGGUUUCCAGAGUGUGCGCCCAGGUCAGUCGAUGAAAGAAAGAGGGCCUUCCACCUCCUCCUUGUUCCUCGGCAAGACGCAGCCAAACCAGGGCUGCGCCAAGUACAGCAGCGGUGAUGGAAAUGGUUGCAAAAUCCAAGCCCAGCCCCAGUGGGCGAGAGGCGCGGAAGGGCAUGCGUGAGUGGGAACCCUCCACCCAGCAUUUCCUUCUCUGCCGUUCAGAGGACUGGGGCUUCAGACAGAUGCGCGCGGCCCAUUCGGGAGCAGAGGCAGUCAAGCUUCUCGGUCCGCGACGAUCUGGAUCCUUUAGAACCCAAACAAUGUACUCUGUAUGGGAAUGCAGAAACAUCUUCCACGGCGUGGAUU
Bos taurus (domestic cattle) is the source of this 1152-nucleotide long non-coding RNA. The record is from Ensembl. Lineage: Eukaryota; Metazoa; Chordata; Mammalia; Artiodactyla; Bovidae.